Molecule: ribosomal RNA, 285 nt
Filed under: Chromobacterium sp. July_NA4A4
Lineage: Bacteria; Pseudomonadati; Pseudomonadota; Betaproteobacteria; Neisseriales; Chromobacteriaceae
Description: partial 16S ribosomal RNA
Rfam family: Bacterial small subunit ribosomal RNA
Source: RNAcentral
CCCGCAACGAGCGCAACCCUUGUCAUUAGUUGCCAUCAUUAAGUUGGGCACUCUAAUGAGACUGCCGGUGACAAACCGGAGGAAGGUGGGGAUGACGUCAAGUCCUCAUGGCCCUUAUGAGCAGGGCUUCACACGUCAUACAAUGGUCGGUACAGAGGGUUGCCAAGCCGCGAGGUGGAGCUAAUCUCAGAAAACCGAUCGUAGUCCGGAUCGCACUCUGCAACUCGAGUGCGUGAAGUCGGAAUCGCUAGUAAUCGCAGAUCAGCAUGCUGCGGUGAAUACGUU